Molecule: ribosomal RNA, 497 nt
Filed under: uncultured bacterium
Lineage: Bacteria
Description: partial 16S ribosomal RNA
Rfam family: Bacterial small subunit ribosomal RNA
Source: RNAcentral
GAUGAACGCUGGCGGCGUGCCUAAUACAUGCAAGUCGAGCGAACGGACGAGAAGCUUGCUUCUCUGAUGUUAGCGGCGGACGGGUGAGUAACACGUGGAUAACCUACCUAUAAGACUGGGAUAACUUCGGGAAACCGGAGCUAAUACCGGAUGAUAUUUUGAACCGCAUGGUUCAAAAGUGAAAGACGGUCUUGCUGUCACUUAUAGAUGGAUCCGCGCUGCAUUAGCUAGUUGGUAAGGUAACGGCUUACCAAGGCAACGAUGCAUAGCCGACCUGAGAGGGUGAUCGGCCACACUGGAACUGCGACACGGUCCAGACUCCUACGGGAGGCAGCAGUAGGGAAUCUUCCGCAAUGGGCGAAAGCCUGACGGAGCAACGCCGCGUGAGUGAUGAAGGUCUUCGGAUCGUAAAACUCUGUUAUUAGGGAAGAACAUAUGUGUAAGUAACUGUGCACAUCUUAACGGUACCUAAUCAGAAAGCCACGGCUAACUACGUG